GACGAACGCUGGCGGCGUGCUUAACACAUGCAAGUCGAACGGAACGGCCCUGCUUUUGUGGGGUGCUCGAGUGGAGAACGGGUGAGUAACCCGUGAGUAACCUGCCAUUGACUUUGGGAUAACUUAAUGAAACUGGGGCUCAUACCGGAUAGGAGCUACUGCUGCAAGGGGGGGGUUGGAAAGUUUCGGCGGUUGGGGAUGGACUCGCGGCUUAUCAGCUUGUUGGUGGGGUAGUGGCUUACCAAGGCUUUGACAGGUAGCCGGGCUGAGAGGGCAGCAGGCCACAUUGGGACGGAGAUGCGGCACAGACUCCUACGGUAGGCAGCAGUGGAGAAGAGUGCAUAGUGGACGGAAGCCUGAUGCAACAACGCCGCGUGGGGGAUGACGGCCUUCGGGUUGGAAACCGCUUUCGCCUGUGACGAAGCGUGAGUGACGGUAAUGGGUAAAGAAGCACCGGCUAACUACGUG
RNAcentral lists this ribosomal RNA (468 nucleotides) under uncultured bacterium. RNAcentral describes it as "partial 16S ribosomal RNA". It matches the Rfam family "Bacterial small subunit ribosomal RNA", at positions 28 to 507 of the family's 1533-position model. The record is from RNAcentral.